This 293-nucleotide long non-coding RNA is filed under the name Coturnix japonica (Japanese quail). RNAcentral describes it as "lncRNA (ENSCJPG00005003326.1)". The record is from RNAcentral. Lineage: Eukaryota; Metazoa; Chordata; Aves; Galliformes; Phasianidae.
GAAUGACACUUGCUAAUUUGAAUUUCAGAACACACCUAAACCGCAUUCUGAUCUCCAGAUGCCACAUAUGAGUGUCCAGAGGCUGCAUCAGUGAAAAAGAAAGAAUUUAUCAUACUUAAAGGCUGAUCAUGCAGCAGAAUUACUUCGGACAGAAAUAACACGCUUAACUAGGCUUGAGGGACUGAAAUUGGACUCAAAUGAAAGAAUCUCCUCAAUAACUUGUUUUACUGGUGAGUUGUUUGAAUGGCAGCAUAAGCACCAGGGGAUGGGGAACUCCACCUUGCCAUGGAUAG